CAGGUGCUGCAUGGCUGUCGUCAGCUCGUGCCGUGAGGUGUCGGGUUAAGUCCCGUAACGACGCGCAACCCUUGUCCUUAGUUACCAGGCACGUUAUGGUGGGCACUCUAAGGAGACUGCCGGUGACAAACCGGAGGAAGGUGGGGAGUGACGUCAAGUCAUCAUGGCCCUUACGGCCUGGGCUACACACGUGCUACAAUGGUCGGUACAAAGGGUUGCCAAGCCGCCGAGGUGGGAGCUAAUCCCAAUAAAACCGAUCGUAGUCCGGAUCGCAGUCUGCAACUCGACUGCGUGAAGUCGGAAUCGCUAGUAAUCGUGAAUCAGAAUGUCACGGUGAAUACGUUCCCGGGCCUU
Molecule: ribosomal RNA, 354 nt
Filed under: uncultured Pseudomonas sp.
Lineage: Bacteria; Pseudomonadati; Pseudomonadota; Gammaproteobacteria; Pseudomonadales; Pseudomonadaceae
Description: bacterial SSU rRNA
Rfam family: Bacterial small subunit ribosomal RNA
Source: RNAcentral